RNAcentral lists this ribosomal RNA (1481 nucleotides) under Staphylococcus aureus. RNAcentral describes it as "partial 16S ribosomal RNA". It matches the Rfam family "Bacterial small subunit ribosomal RNA". The record is from RNAcentral. Lineage: Bacteria; Bacillati; Bacillota; Bacilli; Caryophanales; Staphylococcaceae.
AAGCUUGCUUCUCUGAUGUUAGCGGCGGACGGGUGAGUAACACGUGGAUAACCUACCUAUAAGACUGGGAUAACUUCGGGAAACCGGAGCUAAUACCGGAUAAUAUUUUGAACCGCAUGGUUCAAAAGUGAAAGACGGUCUUGCUGUCACUUAUAGAUGGAUCCGCGCUGCAUUAGCUAGUUGGUAAGGUAACGGCUUACCAAGGCAACGAUGCAUAGCCGACCUGAGAGGGUGAUCGGCCACACUGGAACUGAGACACGGUCCAGACUCCUACGGGAGGCAGCAGUAGGGAAUCUUCCGCAAUGGGCGAAAGCCUGACGGAGCAACGCCGCGUGAGUGAUGAAGGUCUUCGGAUCGUAAAACUCUGUUAUUAGGGAAGAACAUAUGUGUAAGUAACUGUGCACAUCUUGACGGUACCUAAUCAGAAAGCCACGGCUAACUACGUGCCAGCAGCCGCGGUAAUACGUAGGUGGCAAGCGUUAUCCGGAAUUAUUGGGCGUAAAGCGCGCGUAGGCGGUUUUUUAAGUCUGAUGUGAAAGCCCACGGCUCAACCGUGGAGGGUCAUUGGAAACUGGAAAACUUGAGUGCAGAAGAGGAAAGUGGAAUUCCAUGUGUAGCGGUGAAAUGCGCAGAGAUAUGGAGGAACACCAGUGGCGAAGGCGACUUUCUGGUCUGUAACUGACGCUGAUGUGCGAAAGCGUGGGGAUCAAACAGGAUUAGAUACCCUGGUAGUCCACGCCGUAAACGAUGAGUGCUAAGUGUUAGGGGGUUUCCGCCCCUUAGUGCUGCAGCUAACGCAUUAAGCACUCCGCCUGGGGAGUACGACCGCAAGGUUGAAACUCAAAGGAAUUGACGGGGACCCGCACAAGCGGUGGAGCAUGUGGUUUAAUUCGAAGCAACGCGAAGAACCUUACCAAAUCUUGACAUCCUUUGACAACUCUAGAGAUAGAGCCUUCCCCUUCGGGGGACAAAGUGACAGGUGGUGCAUGGUUGUCGUCAGCUCGUGUCGUGAGAUGUUGGGUUAAGUCCCGCAACGAGCGCAACCCUUAAGCUUAGUUGCCAUCAUUAAGUUGGGCACUCUAAGUUGACUGCCGGUGACAAACCGGAGGAAGGUGGGGAUGACGUCAAAUCAUCAUGCCCCUUAUGAUUUGGGCUACACACGUGCUACAAUGGACAAUACAAAGGGCAGCGAAACCGCGAGGUCAAGCAAAUCCCAUAAAGUUGUUCUCAGUUCGGAUUGUAGUCUGCAACUCGACUACAUGAAGCUGGAAUCGCUAGUAAUCGUAGAUCAGCAUGCUACGGUGAAUACGUUCCCGGGUCUUGUACACACCGCCCGUCACACCACGAGAGUUUGUAACACCCGAAGCCGGUGGAGUAACCUUUUAGGAGCUAGCCGUCGAAGGUGGGACAAAUGAUUGGGGUGAAGUCGUAACAAGGUAGCCGUAUCGGAAGGUGCGGCUGGAUCACCUCCUUUCUAAGGA